RNAcentral lists this ribosomal RNA (326 nucleotides) under uncultured eukaryote. RNAcentral describes it as "partial 18S ribosomal RNA". It matches the Rfam family "Eukaryotic small subunit ribosomal RNA", at positions 1470 to 1796 of the family's 1831-position model. The record is from RNAcentral.
CCCUUAGAUGUUCUGGGCCGCACGCGCGCUACACUGACGAUGGCAACGAGUUUUUCCUUCGCCGAAAGGUGUGGGUAAUCUUUUGAAACAUCGUCGUGCUGGGGAUAGAUCAUUGCAAUUUUUGAUCUUGAACGAGGAAUUCCUAGUAAGCGCGAGUCAUCAGCUCGCGUUGAUUACGUCCCUGCCCUUUGUACACACCGCCCGUCGCUACUACCGAUUGAAUGGUUUAGUGAGGACUCCUGAUUGGCGCCGCCCCGGCAACGGAGCAGCGGACUGCCGAAAAGUUGUUCAAACUUGAUCAUUUAGAGGAAGUAAAAGUCGUAACA